UGGUGGGGCGGUACGGUCGAGCCACGAUCAGUUCCAUGCUGUGCGCGAUACGGUAAACUACGCGGUAGUGUUCGUACUUGUUUUCUAUUUGGAAAUCGCGUUAUUUUACGUUUUUUCGCGAUAGUGAAAGUAACAUUAAUCUGUAUAGUGAUCCGGUUCGUUAUUUAAGUACGGUGGGAAGAAGAUUUUUACGUGUCGGACAUUUCGGACUAAUAAGUGUUCACGCGUCUCUUGUGAAGUGAUAUGUUAGUGCCGAAUAUCGCGUUGACAGUGCAUCAGAUCGCGAAUAAACGAAAAAUUCACCUUCUGGAAAGAAUAUUUCGCGUAAAACGCGUCGAUCGGAUACAAACUUUUCCUGUUUUCGUCCAUCGAAGUUACUAAUUCGCAGGUGUCAAACAUGGACAUAACCUGAUCUUGACCAACGUAGUAGAAGCUUUAUAUAAUUCUCGAAGAUGAUUCGUUAUUAGAAAAAGAACAGCCAAUGAGAGCUCGCGAAUUCCGUGAACCAGGAAUUUUCUUCCUUUUCCUGUACUACUUUUGGCGGGAUGUACCUUGUGUAUUAUUACGCAGCUAGAAAUGUAGUGUGACGCGUGUUUGGCAUGUGUUUCGAAAAAAAGUUCGUAGAAUCAUCGUUUGUGUUGAUCGUUUCGUUAACGUAUUAUCGAAAUGUUUGUUGUCUUGCCGCGGGCUGUGGUCAAGUCGAAGCAAUUUCAACAGAACCGUGUUUCUCGGAAUCGCGUGUGACUGACGCUAUGACACGAGGACAAUGCUCGGAAUUUCGGUUUUGAAUUUUGCCUUGACGUGACACGCGUCGACGAGGCCCGAUGUAGUGCGCGGAUUGCUAUGACAUUUGGCUUUGACUGAGUGGCUGUUAGAGUGCCGUAUCUCUAUCAUCUCUGGGAAUCUGAUUUAUGUUGCCGUGUACCAAAUUUCCUGUGACAUCGAACGGUGGAAUCUCGGAGGCCCGUGGCGCGAAUCGCGAGGAGGA
Molecule: long non-coding RNA, 988 nt
Organism: Apis florea (little honeybee)
Lineage: Eukaryota; Metazoa; Arthropoda; Insecta; Hymenoptera; Apidae
Source: RefSeq, a predicted model, not a curated record